CCUACGGGAGGCAGCAGUGGGGAAUAUUGCGCAAUGGGCGAAAGCCUGACGCAGCGACGCCGCGUGAGGGAUGAAGGUCUUCGGAUCGUAAACCUCUGUCAGCAGGGAAGAACGGUCACUGUGCUAAUCAGCAGUGAAUUGACGGUACCUGCAAAGGAAGCACCGGCUAACUCCGUGCCAGCAGCCGCGGUAAUACGGAGGGUGCGAGCGUUAAUCGGAAUUACUGGGCGUAAAGCGCUCGUAGGCGGUAUGUCAAGUCAGGGGUGAAAUCCCCGGGCUCAACGGGGGAACUGCAUUUGAAACUGGCAAGCUGGAGUGUGGGAGAGGGUAGUGGAAUUCCAGGUGUAGGAGUGAAAUCCGUAGAUAUCUGGAGGAACAUCAGUGGCGAAGGCGACUAUCUGGCACAUAACUGACGCUGAGGAGCGAAAGCGUGGGUAGCAAACAGGAUUAGAUACCCCAGUAGUC
RNAcentral lists this ribosomal RNA (465 nucleotides) under uncultured bacterium. RNAcentral describes it as "partial 16S ribosomal RNA". It matches the Rfam family "Bacterial small subunit ribosomal RNA", at positions 338 to 795 of the family's 1533-position model. The record is from RNAcentral.